Long non-coding RNA from Sinocyclocheilus anshuiensis, 370 nucleotides. RefSeq lists it as uncharacterized. The transcript has 3 exons. The record is from RefSeq and is a predicted model, not a curated record. NCBI's taxonomy places the organism in Eukaryota, Metazoa, Chordata, Actinopteri, Cypriniformes, Cyprinidae.
UGCCCUGACAGACAGCAUUCAGGCUCCAGCAUGCCAAGUCACAGCAUCAACACGAAACUUACAGUGGGCCAUUGCACAUGUCAUCCCAGAGAGCCGCUGUCUUCAGUUUGAAUGUGGUGUCAAGGUACAGCUAGGUUUCGCUGCAGAGUUCUCCAACAUCAUGAUAAUCUACACUCGGAUAUUGGAGACAUCUAAAGACAUUGUGUCCUGCUCUGCUCAGCUCUCUGACUUCACAGAGGGUCCUGAAGUAGACCUGAAGCACAGCAAUCAGGAGAGUCUUCACGAGGCUGGCAGCUUACUACUGUCCAUGGAUGAUCUACUGCCUCUGGAACAACCUCGGCUCUUUACUCGUAUUAGUGCCCUGCAAAGG